This 1844-nucleotide long non-coding RNA is filed under the name Gossypium barbadense (sea-island cotton). RNAcentral's name for it is "long non-coding RNA (GBAR_LNC014870)". The record is from RNAcentral. Lineage: Eukaryota; Viridiplantae; Streptophyta; Magnoliopsida; Malvales; Malvaceae.
CACACUUUUGGGAUUAAAGUGAUAAGUUCAGAUAGAAAGACAGGUUGACGCCACAAGGGUUACUUGAUAAGUCAGACGAGUCUUUGGAGAACAAUGAGAGUUGAAAACAAACUCACAAAGUAAUCAGAUUUCAUAUAAAGUUUAAAAGUAUAUUGUCUAACCCCCAAAAUGAUUACAAAACAACUAUUUAUAAUAUAAAUUCCUAAGUAGUCGAAUGGCUAAUAAGAUGCUGAAUGGUCAGCCAAAAUUAAAAACAAAAGAGGCUGGAAAUUUCCAGCAACCUUCCUAGGACAUUUUUGGGAAGCUUCAUGCAUGAAGAAUUCAAUUGGGCAGCUUCUAGAUGGAGUCCAUUCAGCUGGACAUUAAUGGAAGUAUUGGUGAGCUGAAUAAGAGGUCUUGGUUCGGCCAAUGAAGUUGAAUGCACCUUAAUGAAGCCUCCUUGUGAGCUGAACAGCUUGCCCAUUUUUAAUGACGUUUUGGGGAUCUCCAACAGCCCAUGGUGUGAACAUCAAAUAGGAACAGCCUUGUGUGUGUGAACUCAUGAAACUGAAUGGCCAAAAGAUAGCAAAAAUUUAUUUAUCAGCUGGGGCGUCCUCCAAGGUAAUUAAAGAGCUGAAUUGAGCUGCUUUGGAAAGUGAAAAGAAACUCCCAAAAAGGCCCUUGCUGUUCAUGAGGGAAUGCAUGGAGGAGAGCAAUCAGCAGUAAUUAAAUGCCGUCCAUGCCCAAAUUCCUGCACCAAAUUAAAACAGCCUUUAAUUCUUGUUUUAAGACAAAAACAAAUACAUGCAAUAUGGCCCAUAAAUUCGGCAGUAGCUUCUUUAAUGAAUUCCAACAUGCUUUCUUCAACAUCUCAUUGAAUGCUUGUCUUUGCUGCACAUUAAAUUCGGCAAGCAUGCACCCAUUAAAUCUGUCCAUUAAAUGGCCACAUGAAAAAGCACCAGCAGCUCCUUUAAUGCCGUCCAAGGAAGGAGGUACCAACAUGUUAAUUCAGCAAAUUAAAUCCAUUGUGGGCACAUUAAAUUCGACAGCAAAGAAUUAAACCUUCUUUAAUUUUUGUCCCCAUUUCCAUGCACCUGUACACAUUUAAAUUAGCCAUUAACUCAAGUUUAAGACAAAAUAAAAUUUGGUCAACAAGGCAUAUUAAAUUCGUCAACCACACAAGGACACAUUAAUUCUGCUCAUAAAUUCGGCUGACUUAAACAUGAUAAAUCAGCAGCCAAGACACAACAAAUAGCUGUAAUAAAAAAUACACAUUAAUUCGUCAAUUAAAUUGUCUUAGGCUGGAACAUAUUAAAUGAUGUAAUGAGCUAACUAAGACAUAUUAAAUUGCUGUACUAAAUAAAACACAAUCAAUUAAACUCAAGAAAUAUUAAAGAUGUUCAGAUUUAAACUAAUUAAUUUACUAAAACUUAUUUGAGCUAAAUUAAAUAACUAAAUUAACUUAUUCAAUUUAUUCAAUUUAUUCCAGCAAAUGAGUUUGUAAAAUUAAAAUAAACUCAAUAUGAGCAAAACGAUCCCAUUGAACUGGAAACGAACUAAACAGAGCUCAGUGAGAUGCAAUUGAGCUAAUUUAGCUCGCAUGGGUGUGCAAGAAAUACUUAUGGAGCUGAUCGAAAAAUGUGCCCGGGGCGUGGUCGUAUCAUCCCCUCCCUCUUUAAGGCGAUUUGUCCUCAAAUCGGGCCACUUGCUCAAGAAAAAUUUUUCAAGAUCUCGAACCCUUUUGUUCAUGAUCCGAAUAGAAUCAUUUCUAAAACUUUGAAAAUCACAAAUGGUUCGAUAAGAAAUUGAAUUAUUUCCACGCCCUUCCUCUUUAAGAGGGAAACAAUUUAGAGUGUCACCUACAC